RNAcentral lists this ribosomal RNA (494 nucleotides) under uncultured bacterium. Its description in RNAcentral is "partial 16S ribosomal RNA". It matches the Rfam family "Bacterial small subunit ribosomal RNA", at positions 30 to 523 of the family's 1533-position model. The record is from RNAcentral.
AUUGAACGCUGGCGGAAUGCUUUACACAUGCAAGUCGAACGGUAGAGGGGCAACCCUUGAGAGUGGCGAACGGGUGAGUAAUGUAUCGGAACAUGCCCAGUCGUGGGGGAUAACGUAGCGAAAGUUACGCUAAUACCGCAUAUGAUCUAUGGAUGAAAGCGGGGGAUCGCAAGACCUCGCGCGAUUGGAGUGGCCGAUAUCAGAUUAGGUAGUUGGUGGGGUAAAGGCCUACCAAGCCGACGAUCUGUAGCUGGUCUGAGAGGACGACCAGCCACACUGGGAGUGAGACACGGCCCAGACUCCGACGGGAGGCAGCAGUGGGGAAUUUUGGACAAUGGGCGAAAGCCUGAUCCAGCCAUUCCGCGUGCAGGAAGAAGGCCUUCGGGUUGUAAACUGCUUUUGUACGGAACGAAACGCGCUGUGCUAAUACCACGGCGUAAUGACGGUACCGUAAGAAUAAGCACCGGCUAACUACGUGCCAGCAGCCGCGGUAA